Poecilia latipinna (sailfin molly) is the source of this 1008-nucleotide long non-coding RNA. RefSeq lists it as uncharacterized. The transcript is spliced from 3 exons. The record is from RefSeq and is a predicted model, not a curated record. Lineage: Eukaryota; Metazoa; Chordata; Actinopteri; Cyprinodontiformes; Poeciliidae.
UGCGGUGACUCUCUACCUGCAAAUCAAAGCGACGAGAAGCAACAACAAAACAGUCCAAACAGUCUGACUGUUUAGAUGACAGUUAAUAGGUAACCUGCCCAGAGAAUGAGGACAUUCGGUGUCGUACUCUCUGUGACUCUACUCGCCUUUGUUUGCUUUCAGAGGAUCUCUGCCCUGCCAUUUAUGACAAGUAAUUUUAUGCUCUUAAGCGUGCUUCACAAUGAGCAGCCGGAGGAGGAGUUGAGUGACACUAGCGAAUCACAAGAGUCAUCAGAAAUGUGGAUGAUGCCGUACGACAUGAGGGAAAACAAUUACCCUGGCCCCGUCAGAUGCCGGUUCUGCUGCGGCUGCUGCCUGGCUGAUGUCUGCGGCUUGUGCUGCGACUGAAAUUCCGCUGCGCUCAGAAUUUUAGCUGCUGCCACUGAUAUUUAUUCCUGUUGUCUUCAAUUAAACACGCGACGUCACCGAAUGCAUUCGUAGGUUCAGACGCCACAUCAUUUUCCGCUUGCUGUCGAGCGCGGAGAAAGAAAUUGCUGUGGAAAACAAAACAAAAAAAAUAAAAAAAUAAAUAAAUUAAAAGCUAAACUCACUAUCCGUUGUGUGCUUUUUUGUUAAUCAUUUGCCUGAAAUGUCUUAACUUUCACGAGCAGACUUGAGCGCGGAAGGCCUCAGAACUUCAGCACAGUCACACGAUUUCCAUCGCUGGUGCUGUUUAGGAGAUAAUAUCCUGCGUUGGCGUCCAACAAACAAUACUUCCAGCAAAAAUAUUAUCUUCCAAGGGAGUUGUGCUGUCCAAGUGCAAACCGAGCUCGGCUUCGUGGCGGUUCACUUAUUAUCCAGCAGAGAACAGGGAGGUAUGGCGAGCUGCCACGGCGGUGUGGAUAUUAUUGUGUUGCUUUCAGCUUGGCUUGAUCGCGCCUCACAGCUCUAACAACCACAGAGGUCAAAUAAACAGCCUGGUGUUAAAUUUGCACAAAAAAAUAAAAAGAAAUGAUUAGGGAACACACA